GCGCUCGCUUUGGCAACACGUGUACUAAAAUUGGAAUGGCACAGAGAUCAGCAUUGCCCCUGUGCAAGGAUGGCAAGCAAAUUUGUGCAGCAUUUCACAAAAAU
Small nuclear RNA from Myotis lucifugus (little brown bat), 104 nucleotides. The record is from Ensembl. NCBI's taxonomy places the organism in Eukaryota, Metazoa, Chordata, Mammalia, Chiroptera, Vespertilionidae.